RNAcentral lists this ribosomal RNA (253 nucleotides) under uncultured bacterium. RNAcentral describes it as "partial 16S ribosomal RNA". It matches the Rfam family "Bacterial small subunit ribosomal RNA", at positions 524 to 776 of the family's 1533-position model. The record is from RNAcentral.
UACAGAGGGUGCGAGCGUUGUCCGGAAUCACUGGGCGUAAAGGGCGCGUAGGUGGCGACCCAAGUCAAUGGUGAAAGCUCGCCGCUCAACGGCGAGUCGGCCACUGAUACUGGGUUGCUUGAGCACUGUAGAGGCUAAUGGAAUUCCGGGUGUAGUGGUGAAAUGCGUAGAGAUCCGGAGGAACACCAGUGGCGAAGGCGACACGCUGGGCCAUACCUGACGCUAAAGCGCGACAGCAUGGGGAGCAAACGGG